GUCCACGCCGUAAACGAUGAAUGCCAGUCGUCGGCAGGCAUGCCUGUCGGUGACACACCUAACGGAUUAAGCAUUCCGCCUGGGGAGUACGGCCGCAAGGUUAAAACUCAAAGGAAUUGACGGGGGCCCCGCACAAGCGGUGGAGCAUGUGGUUUAAUUCGAAGCAACGCGCAGAACCUUACCAACCCUUGACAUGGGCAUCGCGGGGCCAGAGAUGGUCCUUUCAGUUCGGCUGGAUGCCACACAGGUGCUGCAUGGCUGUCGU
This 265-nucleotide ribosomal RNA is filed under the name uncultured bacterium. Its description in RNAcentral is "partial 16S ribosomal RNA". It matches the Rfam family "Bacterial small subunit ribosomal RNA", at positions 793 to 1055 of the family's 1533-position model. The record is from RNAcentral.